Y RNA from Callithrix jacchus (white-tufted-ear marmoset), 113 nucleotides. It matches the Rfam family "Y RNA". From Rfam's summary of the family: Y RNAs are components of the Ro ribonucleoprotein particle (Ro RNP), in association with Ro60 and La proteins. The record is from Ensembl. NCBI's taxonomy places the organism in Eukaryota, Metazoa, Chordata, Mammalia, Primates, Cebidae.
GACUGGACCCAAGGUAGUGAGUUACCUCGAUUGAUGGCUCACAGUCAGUUACAGAUCAAACUCUUUGUUCUACCCUUUUCUCCCUCCUUACUACUGCACUUGACUAGUCUUUU